GCGUCGGUGGUACAACGGUUAGCAUUCGCUCCCGGGAGGACUGAUAUUCUGGGUUCAAAUCCCGGCUAACGCA
Parelaphostrongylus tenuis is the source of this 73-nucleotide non-coding RNA. The record is from the annotation of a GenBank genome assembly. NCBI's taxonomy places the organism in Eukaryota, Metazoa, Nematoda, Chromadorea, Rhabditida, Metastrongylidae.